CGCUAGCGGCAGGCUUAACACAUGCAAGUCGAGGGGUAACAGGGAAGCUUGCUUCCGCUGACGACCGGCGCACGGGUGCGUAACGCGUAUAGAACCUACCUUUUACAGAGGGAUAGCCUUUAGAAAUGAAGAUUAAUACCUCAUAGUAUUAAGGAUUCGCAUGAAUCCUUAAUUAAAGAUUUAUCGGUAAAAGAUGGCUAUGCGUCCUAUUAGCUAGAUGGUAAGGUAACGGCUUACCAUGGCAACGAUAGGUAGGGGUCCUGAGAGGGAGAUCCCCCACACUGGUACUGAGACACGGACCAGACUCCUACGGGAGGCAGCAGUGAGGAAUAUUGGGCAAUGGAGGCAACUCUGACCCAGCCAUGCCGCGUGCAGGAAGACGGCCCUAUGGGUUGUAAACUGCUUUUAUACAGGAAGAAACCCUCGUACGAGUACGAGCUUGACGGUACUGUAAGAAUAAGGACCGGCUAACUCCGUGCCAGCAGCCGCGGUAAUACGGAGGGUCCGAGCGUUAUCCGGAAUCAUUGGGUUUAAAGGGUCCGCAGGCGGUCGAUUAAGUCAGAGGUGAAAUCCCAUAGCUCAACUAUGGAACUGCCUUUGAUACUGGUUGACUUGAGUCAUAUGGAAGUAGAUAGAAUGUGUAGUGUAGCGGUGAAAUGCAUAGAUAUUACACAGAAUACCGAUUGCGAAGGCAGUCUACUACGUAUGUACUGACGCUGAGGGACGAAAGCGUGGGGAGCGAACAGGAUUAGAUACCCUGGUAGUCCACGCCGUAAACGA
Molecule: ribosomal RNA, 780 nt
Filed under: uncultured Bacteroidota bacterium
Lineage: Bacteria; Pseudomonadati; Bacteroidota
Description: bacterial SSU rRNA
Rfam family: Bacterial small subunit ribosomal RNA
Source: RNAcentral